CCGCAUGGUUCUUGGCUGAAAGAUGGCGUAAGCUAUCGCUUUUGGAUGGACCCGCGGCGUAUUAGCUAGUUGGUGAGGUAAUGGCUCACCAAGGCGAUGAUACGUAGCCGAACUGAGAGGUUGAUCGGCCACAUUGGGACUGAGACACGGCCCAAACUCCUACGGGAGGCAGCAGUAGGGAAUCUUCCACAAUGGACGCAAGUCUGAUGGAGCAACGCCGCGUGAGUGAAGAAGGCUUUCGGGUCGUAAAACUCUGUUGUUGGAGAAGAAUGGUCGGCAGAGUAACUGUUGUCGGCGUGACGGUAUCCAACCAGAAAGCCACGGCUAACUACGUGCCAGCAGCCGCGGUAAUACGUAGGUGGCAAGCGUUAUCCGGAUUUAUUGGGCGUAAAGCGAGCGCAGGCGGUUUUUUAAGUCUGAUGUGAAAGCCCUCGGCUUAACCGAGGAAGCGCAUCGGAAACUGGGAAACUUGAGUGCAGAAGAGGACAGUGGAACUCCAUGUGUAGCGGUGAAAUGCGUAGAUAUAUGGAAGAACACCAGUGGCGAAGGCGGCUGUCUGGUCUGUAACUGACGCUG
Molecule: ribosomal RNA, 576 nt
Filed under: uncultured bacterium
Lineage: Bacteria
Description: bacterial SSU rRNA
Rfam family: Bacterial small subunit ribosomal RNA
Source: RNAcentral